AAGACCCGAGCUUGCAUUACUCAUUACUCAGUGCCCUGCAUAUUUUGUGAAAGGCUCUUAGUUGAGAUAUUCCAUGGCCAAAAAAUACAAUUUAUUUAAUGCGUUCGUAAUUCUGAAUCAGGUACAAAAAGAAGCAGACAAAUAUUACUUAUGUCUUAUAAGUUUGAUACAUGUUCCACCUAAUAAAUUUUCCCAAAAAGGAAAGCUGAGAGGUCCUAUGCAGCACCAUCAUGUGUUUCUUCUUUCUAGUUUAGAGACAACCUAAGAUUUCACUACUGAUAAGGAGAAUCUCCUUACUAAGGAAAUUACCAGGUCAUACCAUGGGCAUAAGAAUUGUUCUUCGGAAUUUCAUCACCAUAUUAAAAAAAGUAUUGAAGGAGAGGUCUGUAAAAAAAUCAUCCAUUAAUGAGUGCGAGCACUACUAAGACAACUAUAGCACACAAUAACCAACAAUCUAUAUAGAAUCCGGUCACUUUGAAAAGUUAAAAUGAUUUAUAUAAUAUACUAGAGAAUUGUGCCAGCUAGACCACUGAUCAUGAAGUAAAAUAUUUAGAGAAAUAUCUUUACAAAAGACAACUAUUAUUGGUACAAAAUUUGGAAGGGUAGUCACUGAAAAGAAAUUCCUUUCUAACUGAAUACAACACUGAUCAAAUUAUACCAUUGAUAGUAACUUGUGUAAGAUAAUAUUACGUACGACAAAAUCACUGGAUAGAGGACUCCCUCGGUAUUAAUGUAUUAAUCGUCGCUCAAGAACACAUAAUAGAAGUACUGUAACGAAUGGCCCAAAUGAAAUUUUAUAUAUGUCAGCAAAUACAAACUACAAAAGGGCAUGUUAUUUAAUACACCACAGAAUAAUUUGAGCAAAUUCGAUCGUAGCAGGUCUAAACAUGCAAGAUUAGCAUCACAAAUCAUAGCUUCUAUAACAUCAGAGUCCAUAGCAUCAGAGGUCGUACCUUUCGCAGUGUGUGAGUUUCUCAUUCCAGCACACAUACAUUGUCAUGUACCAGCUGUUUGUAGAGCUCAUCCCAGUGAGAAUUUGUAUCUUCUUUAGUUAUUAUGUCUCUUAACAGUUAGGAUAGCAUUAUAACUAAGUUGAUGAGUUGUUAGGUUUUUGGUUGGUGAUGUCUCUUGUUAGAUUUAACCUAGAAUAAAAAAAUUAUAAUCUAGAAGUUACUCAUCUGUUGGCUUUACUCAACAACUUUUUAAUUAGAAGGAGCUCCUAACAUAGAGCAUCUACAAACAUAAAUUCUAUUCCAUGGCAUAUGGAUUUGCUAUUAACGUAUUGAUUUGUAUCUAUAUGUUUACACCAAAUCAAAAUCAAAUGGAAGCAUCGUACAUCAUUAUUCCAAGGAAAUAAGCUAAGAGCAUGCAUCUUCAUUCUUCAAUAGAUUUCUGCUCGGUGUUCAGUGCAUAUAAUAAUUUAGUGCUACAAUUGGUAUUCCUCCAAGCUAUGCUUUUUCAUACAGCAAAUUGGCACCUCAUCUCCAUAGGAGCUGUGAAAUCUUUACUUUGGUCUCUCUUUCCCCUGUUUGCAAAUCAAUUUAUGUUUCACCCCAUCUUCAUAGUAGAAGUAAAGGGACACGAUUAGCUGAUGAUAUUCAAAUCCACAUAAACUCUGUUUGCACCUACAGAUGACAACGACUACUCUGUAUGCACCUAUAGAUAACAUCGACUACUCUGUAUGCACCUGAUAUUAACUUUCCUAUAAAAUAAAUAUACACAUAUAACAAUACUUACAUCCUUUUAAUAUGAAAUACACAAAAAUCAAAUAUCAGACAGUUGUUGAUGUUACUAUGACAACAUGACAGAAAGAAUCCACAUUAAUAUUGUUGACCUUCUCACCCCGUAGUCUAAAAUUAAAAUUUUCUAUCCUGUAUAUUCCAAGAGUUGUAAAUAUUAGGAAUCACGGUAUUUGUACUCAUUUAAUUCCUUUUGAUGUACUCGCUCAAUCUGAAUCACAGUAUCUUCAAUCUUUGAGAUACCAUCAGUUGUCUAUUUUUCGUCAGACGGUUUGCUAACUUGCAUUGACCAGUUUAUCACGGCAUAUGAUUGCACCAAUGAAUACUAACCUGUCUGACGUCCUAGCUCACUUUUAUGCAUGCAUCCAUGACGUACAUGAUGUAUAUGCUAUGCCAUGGACCUGAGCAUGUGGGAGAAAUAAGCUUUAUACGAUCUUGUGAUGUGGAAGUAAUAAAAGUGAUGGACUGUAUAAUAAAGGUUCAUAUCACAUGGGGCAAUAUAAAGUGGCGUUCUUUCGCAUUGAGAUUUUAUACAUCAAACCAUAAAAGCGCAUGGCAACCUCUGCUACCUCUGCGAAUGGCCUAUCCUUUAUUAUUAUCUUCUACCUUAUGCAAGAGUCAUGGUGAUCUUCACCUUUUCCUUUGCAUUUUAUCCUUUGGCAAGCUCAGCAUGUUGGAAAGAACAUGAUAUAUAUAUAUAUAUAUAUAUAUAUAUAUAUAUAUAUAAUUGGAUGUAGGGGAGCAUGAACCAUUAUCGUUGACAUAACCCUUGAGGUAAAAGGUUGUGGGGCAAAACUAUAAGCCCUAUCUUUCUCUGUGUCUGAUUAAAACUCUGUAACCACAAGUAUCGCGUGAGUGUUAGCAAUUAUGGAGGACUAAAUGAUAGUUGAGUAUGUGGACUUGCUUUUUAGCUCUGACAUAGACUCUUUCCGAUGUUAUGAUAAAUUGCAAUUGCUUCAAUGACUGAGAUUAUAGUUUGUCGGAGCCCAAUAAGGUUUAUGACUUAUACUCUUGCAUUGUGAAUAGAUCAUCACUUGAACAUAAGUAAUCAUAUGAUAAAAGCUAUAUAUGUUGCUGCUAUGAGAAUAAUCAUGAUGCCUUCAUGUCCGUAUUUUAUUUUUCUCGACGCCUCUACCUCCAAACAUGAGGACAUAUUUAUUGUUAUCGACUUUUCGCUUGAGGACAAGCGAGGUCUAAACUUGGGGGAGUUGAUACGUCCAUUAUGCAUCAUGCUUUUAUAUCGAUAUUUAUCGCAUUAUGGACUGUUAUUUCACUUUAUGUCACAAUACUUAUGGCUAUUAUCUCUUAUUUUACAAGGUUUACAUAAGGAGGGAGAAUGCCGGCAGCUGGAAUUCUGGGCUGGAAAAGGAGCAAAUAUUAGAGACCUAUUCUGUGCAACUCCAUAAGUCCUGAAACUCCACGGAACAUCUUAAAAUAAAUAAAGAAAAAUCCUCACCAAAGAUGAAGGCCAGGGGGCCCACACCCAGCUCACGAGGGUGGGGGAGCCCCCCCCCCCAAGGGAGUGCCCCCUGCCUCGUGGGCCCCCUGGUGGCUCUCCGACGUCCAUCUUCUCCUAUGUGAAGUCUUUCGAUGAGAAAAAAACAAGAGGGAACUUUUCGGGACGAGACUCCGCCGCCACGAGGCGGAACCUUGGUGGAUCCAAUCUAGAGCUCCGGUAGAGCUGUUCUGCCGGGGAAACUUCCCUCCGGGAGGGGGAAAUCAUCACCAACGCUCCUCUCAUUGGGAGAGGGCAAUCUCCAUCAACAUCUUCACCGGCACCAUCUCAUCUCCAAACCCUAGUUCAUCUCUUGUAUCCAAUUCUUGUCUCAAAGUCCAGGAUUGGUGCUAGUAGGUUGCUAGUAGUGUUGAUUACCCCUUGUAGUUGAUGCUAAUUGGUUUAUUUGGUGGAAGAUCAUAUGUUCAGAUCCUAUAUGCAUAUUAUUACCCCUCUGAUUAUGAACAUGAAUAUGCUUUGUGAGUAAUUACGUUUGUUCCUGAGGACAAGGGAGAAGUCUUGCUAUGAGUAGUCAUGUGAAUUUGGUAUUCGUUUGAUAUUUUGAUAAGAUGUAUGUUGUCUAGCCUCUAGUGGUGUUAUGUGAACGUCGACUACAUAACACUUCACCAUUAUUUGGGCCUAGAGGAAGGCAUUGGGAAGUAAUAAGUAGAUGAUGGGUUGCUAGAGUGACAGAAGCUUAAACCCUAGUUUAUGUGUUGCUUCGUAAGGGGCUGAUUUGGAUCCACAAGUUUCAUGCUAUGGUUAGGUUUACCUUAAUACUUUUGUUGUAGUUGCGGAUUCUUGCAAUAGAGGUUAAUCAUAAGUGGGAUGUUUGUUCAAGUAAGAACAUCACCCAAGCACCGGUCCACCCACAUAUCAAAUUAUCAAAGUAUCGAACGCGAAUCAUAUGAACGUGAUGAAAACUAGCUUGACGAUAUUCCCAUGUGUCCUCGGGAGCGCUUUUCCUAUUAUAAGAGUUUGUUCUGGCUUGUCCUUUGCUACAAAAAGGAUUGGGCCACCUUGCUGCACUUUAUUUACUUUUGUUACUCGUUGCUCAUUACAAUUCAUCCUAUCACAAAACUAUCUGUUACUACUUAUUUCAGUACUUGCAGAGAAUACCUUUCUGAAAACCGCUUAUCAUUUCCUUCUGCUCCUCAUUGGGUUUGACACUCUUACUUAUCGAAAGGACUACGAUAGAUCCCCUAUACUUGUGGGUCAUCAAUGCCCUCGGCAAGGGUCUUGUUGUGGUGUUGCAGUGGAUUUCCUUGGCUAGGAUCCCGCCGAGGGUCGCCGUCUUCUGGUCCUCGUCUGAUCUUGCGUGUUCAUGAUCUUGACAAAGAUCUGCAUGUCACCACGGAGGUGCCUCCCGAGCCUUGGUUCCAAUGUAGUCGUCGAUGGUGUUUGGAACUCCUGGGCUCAAGGGUGGCUCGCUCUGCUGGUGUUGGGCAAGUUGCCCCGGCAAGGGUCUUGCCGGGGGAGUCCACCUUGCUCCUUUGUUCUUCAGUGUUUCUGGUCUUGGUGUUGCUUUGUUUGUCUUAUGCUUCGGUUUCCCUCCGGCUUCCCUCCUCUGCGUUGUUAGGUGUGGCCAUGGGCACAGCUCUGACUUCCCGUGCACAAGUUAAGGAGUGCAAAAGGAGAGCCCCUACUUUUGUACACCGACAAAAGUCCUAUGUUUAAUUUUUUUUGGUGUUAUAAUAAUCAACAUGAUGCUUCUAUGUUCGUAUUUUGUUUUUGUCGACACCUCUCUCUCGAAGCAUGUGGACAUGUUUUUCGAUUUCGAUUUCGCUUGAGGACAAGUGAGGUCUAAGCUUGGGGGAGCUAAUACGUCCAUUUUGCAUCAUGUUUUCUUACUGUCAUUUAUAAUUUUGUUAUCCAUAAUAAUGCUUUUUGGAGUAAUUCUAAUGCCUUUUCUCUCAUAAUUUGCAAGGAACACACCAAGAGGGAGAAUUCCGGCAGCUGGAAAUCUGGACCUGGAAAAGCUACGACAGGCCACCUAUUCUGCACAACUCCAAAUGAUCUGAAAAUUUACGGAGAAUUUUUAUGAAUUAUUUGAGGAAGAUUGGAGUCAAUAAACACCAGUGGGGGGGCCACCAGGUGGGCACAACCCACCUGGGCGCGCCAGGCCCCCCAAGCGCCCCCUGGUGGGUUGUGGCCUCCUCGGCCCACCUCUGGUGCCCAUGUUCUGGUAUAUAAGUGGUUUUGACCUAGAAAAAAAUAAGAGGAGGACUUUCGGGACAAAGCGCUGCAGCCUCGAGAUGGAACUUGGGUAGGAGCACUUUUGCCCUCCGACAGAGCGAUUCGGCCAGGGGAACUUCCCUCUCGGGGGGGGGGGAAUCAUCAUCACCAACAACUCCCCCAUCUUAGGGAUGAGAAAAACAAUUCAUGAGCUCUUCGCAAUGCUUAAGGUCGCGGAGGUAGAAAUCAAGAAUGAGCAUCAAGUGUUGAUGGUUAACAAGACCACUAGUUUCAAGAAAAAGGACAAGGGAAAGAAAGGGAACUUCAAGAAGAAUGGCAAGCAAGUUGCCACUCCCAAGAAGAAACUCAAAGCUGGACCCAAGCCUGAAACUGAGUGCUUCUACUCCAAAGGGACUGGCAACUGGAAGCGGAACUGCCCCAAAUACUUGGUGGAUAAGAAAGAUGGCAAAGUGAACAAAGGUAUAUUUGAUAUACAUGUUAUUGAUGUGUACCUUACUAAUGCUCGUAGUAGCGCCUAAGUAUUCGAUACUGGUUCGGUUGCUCAUAUUUGUAACUCGAAACAGGAGCUACGGAUUAAACGAAGAUUGGCUAAGGACGAGGUGAUGAUGCGCGCCCGAAUGGUUCCAAGGUCGAUGUGAUCGCCGUCGGCACGCUACCUCUACAUCUACCUUCGGGAUUAGUUUUAGACCUGAAUAAUUGCUAUUUGAUGCCAGCGUUGAGCACGAACAUUAUAUCUGGAUCUUGUUUAGUGCGAGACGGCUAUUCAUUUAAAUCGGAUAAUAAUGGUUGUUCUAUUUAUAUGAGUAAUAUCUUUUAUGGUCAUGCACCCUUGAAGAGUGGUCUAUUCUUGUUGAAUCUCGAUUGUAGUUAUACACAUAUUCAUAAUAUUGAUGCCAAAAGAUGCAAAGUUGAUAAUGAUAGUGCAACAUAUUUGUGGCACUGUCGUUUAGGUCAUAUUGAUGUAAAGCGCAUGAAGAAACUCCAUACAGAUGGACUUUUGGAAUCACUUGAUUAUUAAUCAUUUGAUACUUGCAAACCAUACCUCAUGGGAAAGAUGAAUAAAACUCUGUUCUCCAGAACAAUGGAGCGAGCCAAUGACUUAUUGGAAAUAAUACAUACCGAUGUAUGCGGUCCAAUGAGUAUUAAAGCACACGACUGGUAUCAUUAUUUCCUGACCUUCACAGAUGAUUUGAGUAGGUAUGGGUAUAUCUACUUAAUGAAACACAAGUCUGAAACAUUUGAAAAAUUCAAAGAAUUUCAAAGUGAAAUAGGGAAUCAUCUUAACAAGAAAAUAAAGCUUCUACGAUCUGAUCAUGGAGGCGAAUAUUUGAGUUACGAGUUUGGCCUUCAUUUAAAACAAUGUGGAAUUGUUUCACAACUCACGCCACCUAGAACACCACAGCGUAAUGGUGUGUCUGAACGUCGUAACCGUUCUUUAUUGGAUAUGGUGCAUUCUAUGAUGUCUCUUACCGAUUUACCACUAUCGUUUUUGGGUUAUGCAUUAGAGACAGGUGCAUUCACGUUAAAUAGGGCACCGUAUAAAUCCGUUGAGACGACACCAUAUGAACUAUGGUUUGGCAAGAAACCUAAGUUGUCGUUUCUUAAAGUUUGGGGUUGCGACACUUAUGUCAAAAGGCUUCAGCCUGAUAAGCUCGAACCCAAAUUGGAGAAAUGCGUGUUCAUAGGAUACCCUAAGGCAACAAUUGGGUACACCUUCUACCACAGAUCCGAAGGCAAGAUCUUUGUUGCCAAGAAUGGAACAUUUCUAGAGAAGGAGUUUCUCUCGAAAGAAGUGAGUGGGAGGAAAGUAGAACUUGAUGAGGUAAUUGUACCUUCUCUCAAUUUGGAAAGUAACACAUCAGAGAAAUCCGUUCCCAUGAUGCCUACGCCAACUAGAGAGGAAGUUAAUGAUGAUGAUCAUGAAACUUUAGAUCAAGUUACUAGUGGACCUUAUAGGUAGAACAGAGCACGUUCCGCACCAGAGUGGUAAAGUAACCCUGUCCUCGAAGUUAUGUUACUAGACCAUGACGAACCUACAGACUAUGAAGAAGCUAUGAUGAGCCUAGAUUAUGAUAAAUGGCUUGAGCCAUGAAAUCUGAGAUAGGAUCCAUGUAUGAGAACAAAGUGUGGACUUUGGUGGACUUGCAUGAUGACCGGCAAGCCAUUGAGAAUAAAUGGAUCUUUAAGAAGAAGACAGACGCUGAUGGUAAUGUCACCAUCUACAAAGCUCAACUUGUCGCAAAAGGUUUUCGACAAGUUCAAGGGGUUGACUACGAUGAGACCUUCUCACCUAUAAUGAUGCUUAAGUCAGUCUGAAUCAUGUUAGCAAUUGCCGCAUUUUAUAAUUAUGAAAUCUGGCAAAUGGACGUCAAAACUGCAUUCCUAAAUGGAUUUCUUAAAGAAGAGUUGCAUAUGAUGCAACCAGAAGGUUUCGUCGAUCCUAAAGGUGCUAACAAAGUGCGCAAGCUCCAGCGAUCCAUCUAUGGACUGGUGCAAGCAUCUCGGAAUUGGAAUAUACGCUUUGAUGAGGUGAUCAAAGCAUAUGGUUUUAUACAGACUUACGGUGAAGCCCGUAUUUACAAGAAAGUGAGAGCCAGCUCUUUAGCAUUUCUGAUAUUAUAUGUGGAUGACAUAUUGUUGACCGGAAGUGAUAUAGAAUUUCUGGAAAGCCUAAAAGGAUACUUGAAUAAGAAUUUUUCAAUGAAAGACCUCGGUGAAGUUGCUUAUAUAUUGGGCAUCAAGAUCUAUAGGGAUAGAUCAAGAUGCUUGAUAGGACUUUCACAAAGCACAUACCUUGAUAAAGUUUUGAAGAAAUUCAAAAUGGAUCAGUCAAAGAAAGGUUUCUUGCCUGUGUUACAAGGUGUGAAGUUGAGUCAGACUCAAAUCCCGACCACUAUAGAAGAUAGAGAGAAAAUGAAAGUCAUUCCCUAUGCCUCAGCCAUAGGUUCUAUCAUGUAUGCUAUGUUGUGUACCAGACCUGAUGUGUGCCUUGCGAUAAGUUUGGCGGGGAGGUACCAAAGUAAUCCAGGAGUGGAUCACUGGACAAUGGUCAAGAACAUCCUAAAGUACCUAAAAAGGACAAAGGAUAUGUUUCUCGUUUAUGGAGGUGACGAAGAGCUCGUUGUAAAUGGUUACGUUGAUGCUAGCUUCGACACUGAUCCGGAUGACUCUAAGUCACAAACCAGAUACGUUUUUAUAUUGAAUGGUAGAGUUGUCAGUUGGUGCAGUUCCAAGCAGAGCAUCAUGGCGGGAUCUACAUGUGAAGCGGAGUACAUGGCUGCUUCGGAAGCAGCUCAUGAAGGAGUUCAUAUCUGAUCUCGGUGUAAUACCCAGUGCAUCGGGUCCAAUUAAAAUCUUUUGUGACAACACUGGAGCAAUUGCCUUGGCAAAGGAAUCCAGGUUUCACAAGAAGACUAAACACAUCAAGAGACAACUCCAUUCAUGAAAAGGUCAAGGAUGGAGACAUAGAAGUUUGCAAAAUACAUACGGAUCUAAAUGUAGCAGACCCAUUGACUAAGCCUCUUCCGCGAGCAAAACAUGAUCAGCACCAAGACUCCAUGGGUAUUAGAUUCAUUACAAUAUAAUCUAGAUUAUUGACUCUAGUGCAAGUGGGAGACUGAAGGAAAUAUGCCCUAGAGGCAAUAAUAUAGUUGUUAUUUUAUAUUUCCUUAUUCAUGAUAAAGGUUUAUUAUUCAUGCUAGAAUUGUAUUGAUUGGAAACUUAAAUACAUGUGUGAAUACAUAAACAAAUACCGUGUACCUAGUAAGUCUCUACUAGACUAGCUCGUUGAUCAAAGAUGGUUAAGGUUUCCUAACCAUAGAUGUGUGUUGUCAUUUGAUAACGGAAUCACAUCAUUAGGAGAAUGAUGUGAUGGACAAGACCCAUCUGUUAGCUUAGCAUAAUGAUCAUUCAGUUUAUUGUUAUUGCUUUCUUCAUGUCAAAUACAUAUUCCUCCCACUAUGAGAUUAUGCAACUCCCAGAUCCCGAAGGAAUACCUUGUGUGCUAUCAAACGUCACAACAUAACUGGGUGAUCGUAAAUAUGCUCUACAGGUAUCUAUGAAGGUGUUUGUUGAGUUGGCAUAGAUCAAAAUUAGGAUUUGUCACUCCGAGUAUCCGAGAGCUAUCUCUAGGCCCUCUCGGUAAUACACAUCAUAAGAAGCCUUGCAAGCAAAGUGACUAAUGAGUUAGUUGCAUGAUGAUGUAUUAUGGAACGAGUAAAGAGACUUGCCGGUAAUGAGAUUGAACUAGGUAUGAAGAUACCAACGAUCGAAUCUUGGGCAAGUAACAUACUGAUGGACAAAGGGAAUUACGUAUGUUGUCAUAACGGUUCAACUGAUAAAUAUCUUCAUAGAAUAUGUAGGAGACAAUAUGGGCAUCCAGGUUCCGCUGUUGGUUAUUGACCGGAGAGGUGUCUCGGUCAUGUCUACAUAGUUCUCGAACUCAUAGGGUCCGUACGCUUAACGUUCGUUGACGAUGUAGUGUUAUAUGAGUUAUAUGAUUUGGUGAACGAUUGUUGUUUGGAGUCCCGGAUGAGAUCAUGAAUAUAACGAGGAGUCUUGAAAUGGUUGAGAGGUAAAGAUUGAUAUAUAGGACGAUGGUAUUUGGACAUCAGAAGUGUUUCGGGUGAUAUCGGGUACUUGUCGGGUCACAUGAAGGGGUUCCGGGCACCCCCGGCAAAGCUAUGGGCCUAAUGGGCCAAGUGAGGGAACACGCCAGCCCUCAGGGUGCUUGUGCACCCCUAUAGAUGGCCGGCCCUAGGGAAGAAGGAAAGUGGAGACUAGGUCUCCCCUUUCCUCCCCCCUCCUCUUCCUUCCUUUCCCCUUUGGGGAAAUAUGGCAGGGGGCGCAGGGCAAGGCAGGGGCCCUAGGGCGCGCCUGGCUGCCUCCCCUCCCUUCCCACCUAUAUAUACAUGGGGAGGGGGCGCCACUCAAGGACACAACAUUGUCUUAGCCGUGUGUGGUGCCCUCGUCCACCAUUUACUACCUCGGUCAUAUUUUCGUAGUGCUUAGGCGAAGCCCUGCGGAGAUCACUUCACCGUCACCGUCACCACGCUGUCCUGCUGUUGAAACUCAUCUACUACCUCGCCGUCUUGCUGGAUCAAGAAGGCGGAGGACGUCACCGAGCUGAACGUGUGCAGAACGCGGAGGUGUCGUGCCUUCGGUACUUGAUCAGUUGGAGCGUGAAGAAGUUCGACUGCAUCAACCAUGUUGUUAAAUGCUUUCACUUACGGUCUAUGAGGGUACGCAGACACACUGUCCCCCUCAUUGCUAUGCAUCUCUAUGGAUAGAUCAUUGCGUGAGCGUAGAAUUUUUUGUUUUCCAUGCAACGUUUCCCAAUAGAUAUCAAACUUCCUAGACUGUUCGGGCCAAAAUGGAGGACCAUUGGAUAGGCUCCCCUAAUCCUCCCCUCCAUUUGAGACCGGAUCGGGGGAUAUCAAACUUUACGGACUAUUCAUGCUAAAAUGGAGGCUCGUUGGAUGGCAUUUUUAGUCCCGACAUAUCCAUACCAUGUAGAGUGGUUCAAUCAUCAUAAUAUUUUAGGGGAAGUAAUGUGAAGAUGAAUCACUAAGGAUACUGAAUGUGGCAACAAUACAAUGUGGAACAGAGCUCACCCUACUUUGGAAAAGCUAGAUAGGAUCCUCAUGAGGAAUUAUUGGGAAGACAUGUUUCCUCAAGUAAAUGUGAGGAAGCUGGUUAGAUAUGCAUCUGACCAUAAUGCUCUAUUACUUUCCUCUGACAAUUUGAUUGUCAGGAGUCCCCAAGUAAGAGAAUUUAGGUUUUAAAUGGGUUGGCUAAAAUAUGAGGAAUUUAUUCCUCUGGUGGAAGAGAUUUGGAAGAAAUAUGUGAGAUCUAAUGAUCCAAUUGACAUUUUCGAUAUUAAACUGAAGAGAAUCAAAAAUAUAUAGGUUGGGGAUCCAACAAGUUGGGAAUGAUAGAAAAAAGAAAAAUGAGAUCAAGGAAGAGGUGUUGAUCAUUGAAAAUCUUCAGGAGCAAGGUGCUCUAGACCCUGACAUGUUCUGUAAGAAAAUGGAAUUACUUGUCGGGUUGAAUGAGAUUAUGGUGAAUGAAGAGCUAUAUCUCUUGUAACAAUCCCAUGAAAAGUGUGGCUCCUGCAAGGGGACCAAAAUAAUGCUUAUUUCUAGAAAAUUUCCAAUGGCAAUAAAAGGAAAAAUACUAUCCAUUGUUCAUGUGUUGGAGACACAACUAUUGAAGGAACUUAAAAUCUUCUUAAACAUGCUACUGACUUUUACAAAGUGCUUUUUAGGCCUGCCCUUGGCAACUUAUUUCAUUUAGACCCUUAUCUGUGGGGGAGAAUGAGAAAUUAAAUGAGUCUACUGGUGAUUUGUUAAAUAAACCCUUCUUUGUGGAGGAGGUGAAAAGGCAUUGUUGCCAUGAAAAGUAACAAAGGCCCCUUGUCCUAACAACAUUCCUACUGUGUUUUACGAGUGUUGUUGGGAAAUUGUGCAACACUAGUCGUCAACCCAUGCAGAUGCAUGGGCUAUCCACUCUAGGUUACACUUAAGCACAAUAAAGUUUAUAUUAUUAUAAUUAAAUAUUCAUUUGCAAAGUUAUUUUGAAUUUAAAUACAUCAUGAAUUUUGGAUUCUAAAUAUAAAAUAAUAUAUUUUGGGGGGAUGUAUAUCAUUGAGAAAUGUUGGUAGAUAAGAGAAGAGGCUGAUAAAAAUCAUUAGAUGUAAUGUGUCGCUUUAAAGCUGAUAGUGGCACUAUUGCAAGGUAAGCAUGUAGAGAUUACAUAUGACAUAUAGAAUUUCCAAGUUACGAAUUAAAGUGUUCAUGCACCCAUGCCUACCAUGGUGCUUUCAGUAAUGAUUUCUAUUGACUUACUCUACACAUUACAGUUUUAUGAGCUACAAAAUUUGGAGGAACCAAACAGAUUAUUUCAUAACUGGUUUUCUAUGACAACAAUGUACGUGAAAGGAAAGGUUGUGAGAGGCGAGAUUAUAUGGAUUCGGUUUGUAGUUUUAGGAAAAUGCUGUUGAUAAGGAGCAUGAAAGUAAUUAAGAAUGGGUGAAAUCUUAAUUAACAACAUGAAGGCAGACAGGUGAGAAUAACAUAGUUGUCGAGUACAACAACAAAACCAUAAUUACACCCACAAACAAAAAUAGACUGAUAAAUCAAUGUGUUUGUAUACAUUAUGUUUUGCAAGCAGCGGCUUUGCAUAUUUGGUUUAGCAUGCAUUGAUCAUGUUUUGGGGUUGUCAUGUUGGAUGCAGCAAAUUCUGGGUAGCAAAGAAGAAAUAAGCCACGGAUACUGUCAAUACAUUUUUCUUGCUUGUAAUUUAAAAGCACCCUCGUUUUUUUCUUUUGCUCGGAAUGCCAUAAAAAUGGGUAGGAAAAAAAGGACGUAAGUGAAAAACAUAAGGGAAUAUAGAUGUAGACCUUGGUCCAGCAAUUCAAUCUUGCUCCAGCAAGGCAUAUUACAAAAUGACGUUUCUCACAUUCCUAAGUCUAGUUAGUAAAUAUCAUCAGGAGGCACAGGAAAUUAAGUGUUGGAGCUAACUGGGAUAUAUAUUACAUAGUGGCCUUGUCCCUUCCGGACUUGGGCAAUCAUGGGCGUGUGCUCUGUUUUUCUGGCCGGUAGAUCCAGUAGUAAAUAAUCCUUGUUUGGUGCGUCCUCCAUGAAUCAAUCAAGGUGCUUUAAUCCUUAUGGCAGAAAGAAGUCCUCCCAGAGCAACCUAACUGGUACUGUAGCAAUUACUUGGUUCUUGCACAAAUGCGUCAGACAAUACAAACUGCACAAAAUUCUCUUCAAGAAUCAAGGAUAUAUCUACUAAAAAGCAAAUAAAUUAAGAGCCAAUACAAAAACUUCAAUGCUAGUACUUUACCCUGAUCAAUCCUUUCUUAUCACCAUGCUUUUUAUGCUUCCGCAGCCACAUGUAAUCUCCAUUGACAAUCAUCGCUCAUCGGCAUGAACUGGCACUUCUCUGUGCGCCAAUGCAUCCUCUGGUUGGUGCCAGCGCUCGCCGGCCAACCUGCAACUGUUACCAGAUAGAUCAAUCAGAAGAACAUAAGCAUCAUAGACGAUAGUCGUCAACCCAUCUAUUUGCAAGUCCUAGCAUUUUGUACAACACCUAAAGAUAAAGGUACUAAAAUCAUUUAUUAGAUACACAAUAUUUAGAUAUAUAAACUAAAUUAUUAUACCAGUCUCUUGAACCAAUAGAAAGGAAACAUGCAAAUUUCGGUUUACUUAAGAAGAAUGUAAAUUUUGUCAUACUAAAUGCUAAGAAAAAUGAUCCAAAUUCAGAGGUACAUCAAAUCACAAUUAUAGUAAUGAAAGAAAACACACAAAAGGCAUUUUUAUCUCUUCCCAAAAUAGGAUAAAAAAAUUAAUGAACAAUUAGACUUUUUAAUGGUUCAUAGAUGAAUACACUGUACCAUAAAGAGUCUUAUAUUGUAUAUUGUGUUACCUAACUUAUUUAGAUAGGCAAAUAAUCCUAACAAAAAAUAUUAGUACAGAAAAAUGUAACAUAAAACAUGAAAUGUAAGAACCAAAUAGAGGAACAAACAUUUUGUGGCCACUGGAUUGUAAAAAGAAUGGACACUAAAGUUACUAUAAAUUUUUAACUUUUCUAUAAGGUGAGGUAGUAAUAAGCCAAAAAAAUAUGACAUCUCAUUUCUUUUGGCGCAUUCACCUCAAUUAUUUUCUUAUGCUUGUUUUUUGCAUAAAAUAUAAGGCAUGUGUGUAGACAGAUGAAUGAACUAUUGGACUCUAUGUGCAUCCUUUUUGUGAGCUUAUACAACUAAAAAUCAGGAAGAGAUUGCAAACUUGGAAAUCAUAGAAACUUACAUUUAGUUUUGUAUUUAGUUAUUAAUCGAUAUGAUUUUCCAUUUAUCCCACUACCAAGACCCGAGCUUGAAUUACUCAUUACUCAGUGCCCUGCAUAUUUUGUGAAAGGCUCUUAGUUGAGAUAUUCCAUGUCCAAAAAAUACAAUUUAUUUAAUGCGUUCUUAAUUCUGAAUCAGGUACAAAAAGAAUCAGACAAAUAUUAGUUAUGUCUUAUAAGUUUGAUACAUGUGCCGCCUAAUAAAUUUUCCCAAAAAGGAAAGCUGGGAGGUCCUAUGCAGCACCAUCAUGUGUUUCUUCUUUCUAGUUUAGAGACAACCUAAGAUUUCACUACUGAUAAGGAGAAUCUCCUUACUAAGGAAAUUACCAGGUCAUACCAUGGGCAUAAGAAUUGUUCUUCGGACUUUCAUCACCAUAUUAAAAAAAGUAUUGAAGGAGAGGUCUGUAAAAAAAUCAUCCAUUAAUGAGUGCGAGCACUACUAAGACAACUAUAGCACACAAUAACCAACAAUCUAUAUAGAAUCCGGUCACUUUGAAAAG
Molecule: long non-coding RNA, 14774 nt
Filed under: Triticum aestivum (bread wheat)
Lineage: Eukaryota; Viridiplantae; Streptophyta; Magnoliopsida; Poales; Poaceae
Description: long non-coding RNA (TAES_LNC005215)
Source: RNAcentral